RNAcentral lists this ribosomal RNA (496 nucleotides) under uncultured bacterium. RNAcentral describes it as "partial 16S ribosomal RNA". It matches the Rfam family "Bacterial small subunit ribosomal RNA", at positions 29 to 507 of the family's 1533-position model. The record is from RNAcentral.
AUGAACGCUGGCGGCGUGCCUCAUACAUGCAAGUCGAGCGAACGGACGAGAAGCUUGCUUCUCUGAUGUUAGCGGCGGACGGGUGGGUAACACGUGGAUAACCUACCUAUAAGACUGGGAUAACUUCGGGAAACCGGAGCUAAUACCGGAUAAUAUUUUGAACCGCAUGGUUCAAAAGUGAAAGACGGUCUUGCUGUCACUUAUAGAUGGAUCCGCGCUGCAUUAGCUAGUUGGUAAGGUAACGGCUUACCAAGGCAACGAUCCAUAGCCGACCUGAGAGGGUGAUCGGCCACACUGGAACUGAGACACGGUCCAGACUCCUACGGGAGGCAGCAGUAGGGAAUCUUCCGCAAUGGGCGAAAGCCUGACGGAGCAACGCCGCGUGAGUGAUGAAGGUCUUCGGAUCGUAAAACUCUGUUAUUAGGGAAGAACAUAUGUGUAAGUAACUGUGCACAUCUUGACGGUACCUAAUCAGAAAGCCACGGCUAACUACGUG